Non-coding RNA from Drosophila melanogaster (fruit fly), 716 nucleotides. The record is from Ensembl. Lineage: Eukaryota; Metazoa; Arthropoda; Insecta; Diptera; Drosophilidae.
AGGUGGCUGGACUAGCAAGACAACGGGUGGAGACAGCAGAUAGGUUCCGACUGCAGGAAGACCCACGGGCACAACAUGACCAUGGGACUCCUCCCAGUAACUGAUAGCCAAGAGGCCGAGAAAAAACUGGUUAGGGGAAUGAAAAAUUAGACGUCUUCGACAUAAUGUGUGCUCGUCGCUCCACUCACCACUGUGGCACGCAUUUUGGAGAGCUAGUUUCCGAUCCCUUCGAGUCCGUUCUCGACAGCUUCCACGGCGGGACUGACUCGGUUGGCAAUGCCCUAGGCCAGCUUUUAUACGGUCAUACGGAGAUCGCUGGUUGCGACUGCUGAUUAAUUGUGAGCAGGGGCACUGUCUAUACUUGGAAGCUGCUGCCACUUUGCAUGGCACCUGCAUAAAUCAAGUGCUACCAACGCUAAUUGCAGCAACAACAGUUACGAGAGACAAUGAUCUUGUUAAUGUGUGUAAUGUGCACCAUAAGGCUUGACCACCCGAUCAAAAGACGCAGUUGCCAUUACACCUGAACUUGGCCUUUUGAUUGACACGAGCCAGUCUUCGGAACGUUGGCUGCCCUACAUGAACCCAUAUAUGGAGUUGGCAAUACAUUCUUGUCUAUCAGAUUUACGAGGCUUCCUACCCUUGGAGACUCAAAUAAGUACUAUUACGCCAUACAAUGUUGGAUAUAUAUUAUGAAAAUAUUUAAAAAUCACAGCUAA